UACGGAGGGUGCAAGCGUUAAUCGGAAUUACUGGGCGUAAAGCGCGCGUAGGUGGUUACGUCAGUCGGAUGUGAAAGCCCCGGGCUUAACCUGGGAAUUGCAUUCGAUACUGCGUAGCUAGAGUCUGGUAGAGGGUAGCGGAAUUCCAGGUGUAGCGGUGAAAUGCGUAGAUAUCUGGAGGAACAUCAGUGGCGAAGGCGGCUACCUGGACCAAGACUGACGCUGAGGUGCGAAAGCGUGGGGAGCAAACAGG
Molecule: ribosomal RNA, 253 nt
Filed under: uncultured bacterium
Lineage: Bacteria
Description: partial 16S ribosomal RNA
Rfam family: Bacterial small subunit ribosomal RNA
Source: RNAcentral